AAAGGUAGCAGCUUAACUGUUUUACAUGCCGUUGAUACUGGUUAGCUUGAGUUGACAGAAGGCAGAUAGAAUUCCUGAUGUAGCGGUGAAAUGCUUAGAUAUCAGGAGGAAUACCGAUUGCGAAGGYAGUCUGCUGCAGUCACACUGACGCUGAGGCUCGAAGGUGCKGGGAUCAAACAGGAUUAGAUACCCUGGUAGUCCGCACAGUAAACGAUGAUUACUAGAUGUUGGCCAAGCCAGUGUCCAAGGGAAACCGAUAAGUAAUCCACCUGGGGAGUACNCCGGCAACGUGAAACUCAAAGGAAUUGACGGGNGUCCGCACAA
This 324-nucleotide ribosomal RNA is filed under the name uncultured Cytophagales bacterium. RNAcentral describes it as "bacterial SSU rRNA". It matches the Rfam family "Bacterial small subunit ribosomal RNA", at positions 597 to 928 of the family's 1533-position model. Lineage: Bacteria; Pseudomonadati; Bacteroidota; Sphingobacteriia; Sphingobacteriales. The record is from RNAcentral.